UUCCUCUCUCCAUCCACGCUCUCUCCAUCGCUCCAUCCAUGCUCUCCCCAUCGCAGGAGCUUCUUUCACCACCGCCGCUCCCCCCAUCGCUCCGUCCAUGAAGAAGCUCUGUCCACGAAGAAGCUCCAUCGCUUACGAGCUCAAUUUUUCUACUUUUGUUUGAGCUGUGUUUCAGUCCCAUCCAUUUAGAUCUGCGCUUCUGAAUUUCAGAUCGCGUUCCGAUUCAAUUUGAGACAAUAAUCACUUCCGUCAUUUCAAAGAUUGAACGCAGAUAUGGUAAUCCUUUUGUUUCCUCACAAUCCCGCACUUUGAUAUUUUUUUAGGCUUCUCUAUCAGCUACAAUUUUGAUAUGUGCAUGUAAUUUGAAUCUAUGAUACAUUUACAUGGGCUUCGUGUUGUGUAAUUGUACACACUUGCCUUAUAAUUGAGAUCUAUUCAUGGUGAGGUUUGU
Molecule: non-coding RNA, 451 nt
Organism: Arachis ipaensis
Lineage: Eukaryota; Viridiplantae; Streptophyta; Magnoliopsida; Fabales; Fabaceae
Source: RefSeq, a predicted model, not a curated record